This 458-nucleotide ribosomal RNA is filed under the name uncultured bacterium. RNAcentral's name for it is "partial 16S ribosomal RNA". It matches the Rfam family "Bacterial small subunit ribosomal RNA", at positions 338 to 795 of the family's 1533-position model. The record is from RNAcentral.
CCUACGGGGGGCAGCAGUGAGGAAUAUUGGUCAAUGGGCGAGAGCCUGAACCAGCCAAGUCGCGUGAGGGAGUACUGCCCUAUGGGUUGUAAACCUCUUUUGUCGGGGAGCAAAAGCCGGACGUGUCCGGCUGUGAGAGUACCCGAAGAAAAAGCAUCGGCUAACUCCGUGCCAGCAGCCGCGGUAAUACGGAGGAUGCGAGCGUUAUCCGGAUUUAUUGGGGUUAAAGGGUGCGCAGGCGGAGUUUUAAGUCAGCGGUCAAAUCGUGGGGCUCAACCCCAUCCAGCCGUUGAAACUGGGGAUCUAGAGUGUGCGAGAGGUAUGCGGAAUGCGUGGUGUAGCGGUGAAAUGCAUAGAUAUCACGCAGAACCCCGAUUGCGAAGGCAGCAUACCGGUGCACAACUGACGCUCAGGCACGAAAGCGUGGGUAUCGAACAGGAUUAGAUACCCCAGUAGUC